CACGUAGUUAGCCGUGGCUUUCUCAUAAGGUACCGUCAAUUGAUAGUCAUUUCCUCCUGUCACCUUUCUUCCCUUAUAACAGAAUUUUACAACCCGAAGGCCUUCUUCAUUCACGCGGCGUUGCUCGGUCAGGCUUUCGCCCAUUGCCGAAGAUUCCCUACUGCUGCCUCCCGUAGGAGUCUGGGCCGUGUCUCAGUCCCAGUGUGGCCGUUCACCCUCUCAGGUCGGCUACGCAUCGUCGCCUUGGUAGGCCUUUACCCCACCAACUAGCUAAUGCGCCGCAGGCUCAUCCAUCAGUGAUGCCAGGAGCAUCUUUAAACUUUCGUCCUAUCCGGUAUUAGCGAUCGUUUCCAAUCGUUGUCCCCGUCUGAUGGGCAGAUCACCUACGUGUUACUCACCCGUUCGCCGCUUCCCACCGAAGUGGUUCGCUCGACUUGCAUGUAUUAGGCACGCCGCCAGCGUUCAUCCUGAGCCAGGAUCAAACUCU
RNAcentral lists this ribosomal RNA (487 nucleotides) under uncultured Turicibacter sp. RNAcentral describes it as "partial 16S ribosomal RNA". The record is from RNAcentral. Lineage: Bacteria; Bacillati; Bacillota; Erysipelotrichia; Erysipelotrichales; Turicibacteraceae.